This 174-nucleotide ribosomal RNA is filed under the name uncultured bacterium. RNAcentral describes it as "partial 16S ribosomal RNA". It matches the Rfam family "Bacterial small subunit ribosomal RNA", at positions 338 to 508 of the family's 1533-position model. The record is from RNAcentral.
CCUACGGGAGGCAGCAGUGAGGAAUAUUGCGCAAUGGAGGCAACUCUGACGCAGCCAUGCCGCGUGCAGGAAGACGGCCCUACGGGUUGUAAACUGCUUUUAUCCGGGAAGAAACCCCAGGACGUGUCCCUGGGUUGACGGUACCGGAGGAAUAAGCACCGGCUAACUCCGUGC